Molecule: ribosomal RNA, 483 nt
Filed under: uncultured bacterium
Lineage: Bacteria
Description: partial 16S ribosomal RNA
Rfam family: Bacterial small subunit ribosomal RNA
Source: RNAcentral
GACGAACGCUGGCGGCGUGCUUAACACAUGCAAGUCGAACGCUGAAGCUCAGCUUUUGUUGGGUGGAUGAGUGGCGAACGGGUGAGUAACACGUGAGUAACCUGCCCCCUUCUUUGGGAUAACGCCCGGAAACGGGUGCUAAUACUGGAUAUUCACUGGUCUUCGCAUGGGGGUUGGUGGAAAGGGUUUUUCUGGUGGGGGAUGGGCUCGCGGCCUAUCAGCUUGUUGGUGGGGUGAUGGCCUACCAAGGCUUUGCCGGGUAGCCGGCCUGAGAGGGUGACCGGUCACAUUGGGACUGAGAUACGGCCCAGACUCCUACGGGAGGCAGCAGUGGGGAAUAUUGCACAAUGGGCGCAAGCCUGAUGCAGCGACGCCGCGUGAGGGAUGGAGGCCUUCGGGUUGUGAACCUCUUUCGCUCAUGGUCAAGCCGCAACAAUGGUUGUGGUGAGGGUAGUGGGUAAAGAAGCGCCGGCUAACUACGUG